AUACGUAGGGGGCAAGCGUUGUCCGGAGUAACUGGGCGUAAAGGGCGCGUAGGCGGAAUAAUAAGUCAGUUGUGAAAGAUAUGGGCUCAACUCAUAGAACGCAUCUGAAACUGUUAAAUCUGGAGUAUAGGAGAGGGAAACGGAAUUCCUGGUGUAGCGGUGAAAUGCGUAGAGAUCAGGAAGAACAUCAGUGGCGAAGGCGGUUUCCUGGCCUAAAACUGACGCUGAAGCGCGAAAGCAUGGGUAGCGAACAGGAUUAGAUACCCUGGUAGUCCAUGCCGUAAACGAUGGAUACUAGGUGUGGGUAUCGCAAGAUAUCCGUGCCGCAGUUAACGCAAUAAGUAUCCCGCCUGGGGAGUACGGCCGCAAGGUUGAA
RNAcentral lists this ribosomal RNA (376 nucleotides) under uncultured bacterium. Its description in RNAcentral is "bacterial SSU rRNA". It matches the Rfam family "Bacterial small subunit ribosomal RNA", at positions 523 to 898 of the family's 1533-position model. The record is from RNAcentral.